This 442-nucleotide ribosomal RNA is filed under the name Bacillus stratosphericus. Its description in RNAcentral is "bacterial SSU rRNA". It matches the Rfam family "Bacterial small subunit ribosomal RNA", at positions 71 to 498 of the family's 1533-position model. The record is from RNAcentral. Lineage: Bacteria; Bacillati; Bacillota; Bacilli; Caryophanales; Bacillaceae.
GAAGGGAGCUUGCUCCCGGAUGUUAGCGGCGGACGGGUGAGUAACACGUGGGUAACCUGCCUGUAAGACUGGGAUAACUCCGGGAAACCGGAGCUAAUACCGGAUAGUUCCUUGAACCGCAUGGUUCAAGGAUGAAAGACGGUUUCGGCUGUCACUUACAGAUGGACCCGCGGCGCAUUAGCUAGUUGGUGAGGUAACGGCUCACCAAGGCGACGAUGCGUAGCCGACCUGAGAGGGUGAUCGGCCACACUGGGACUGAGACACGGCCCAGACUCCUACGGGAGGCAGCAGUAGGGAAUCUUCCGCAAUGGACGAAAGUCUGACGGAGCAACGCCGCGUGAGUGAUGAAGGUUUUCGGAUCGUAAAGCUCUGUUGUUAGGGAAGAACAAGUGCAAAAGUAACUGCUUGCACCUUGACGGUACCUAACCAAAAGCCCGCGGCU